CCUACGGGUGGCAGCAGUAGGGAAUCUUCGGCAAUGGACGAAAGUCUGACCGAGCAACGCCGCGUGAGUGAAGAAGGUUUUCGGAUCGUAAAACUCUGUUGUUAGAGAAGAACAAGGACGUUAGUAACUGAACGUCCCCUGACGGUAUCUAGCCAGAAAGCCACGGCUAACUACGUGCCAGCAGCCGCGGUAAUACGUAGGUGGCAAACAUUGUCCGGAUUUAUUGGGCGUAAAGCGGGCGCAGGCGGUUUCUUAAGUCUGAUGUGAAAGCCCCCGGCUCAACCGGGGAGGGUCAUUGGAAACUGGGAGACUUGAGUGCAGAAGAGGAGAGUGGAAUUCCAUGUGUAGCGGUGAAAUGCGUAGAUAUAUGGAGGAACACCAGUGGCGAAGGCGGCUCUCUGGUCUGUAACUGACGCUGAGGCUCGAAAGCGUGGGGGGCAAACAGGAUUAGAUACCCGGGUAGUC
Molecule: ribosomal RNA, 465 nt
Filed under: uncultured bacterium
Lineage: Bacteria
Description: bacterial SSU rRNA
Rfam family: Bacterial small subunit ribosomal RNA
Source: RNAcentral